This 209-nucleotide long non-coding RNA is filed under the name Pan troglodytes (chimpanzee). RNAcentral's name for it is "long non-coding RNA NONPTRT011499". The record is from RNAcentral. Lineage: Eukaryota; Metazoa; Chordata; Mammalia; Primates; Hominidae.
UGGGAGACUUUAACACCCCACUGUCAACAUUAAACAGAUCAACGAGACAGAAAGCACCCUCCCAAGACUAAACCAGGAAGAAGUUGAAUCUCUGAAUAGACCAAUAACAGGAUCUGAAAUUGAGGCAAUAAUUAAUAGCUUACCAAGCAAAAAAAGUCCAAGACCAGAUGGAUUCACAGCUGAAUUCUACCAGAGGUACAAGGAGGAGC